Non-coding RNA from Neolamprologus brichardi, 542 nucleotides. The record is from RefSeq and is a predicted model, not a curated record. Lineage: Eukaryota; Metazoa; Chordata; Actinopteri; Cichliformes; Cichlidae.
CAUAAAACUACAGCGUCUGGCCUGAAGCGGUCGGUGCUGAGUUUGUGCUGCAGGUCCAGGUCCUGCCGCUGGAUUCCCCCAUCGGUUUUUUGGGAAGGGUGAAGGUCGAAUGGUCUGGCUUUUGUAAUUGGGGACACAAACACCAAAUAACGAGAGAAGCCUCCGCUCCUUUCGCACCAUUUUUUCUCCCUCAAGGGCCCUGCAUGUCUAAUAUUUAGACAUGUUCAGCUUGAUGGAUUCCAGGACUAUACUGCUACUUGUAGCGAGCCAAGUUUGUCUAUUAGCCGUUGUGAGAUGUCAGGUGGAAGACGACCAAGAGGACGCGUUUAGCUGUGUACAAGAUGGACAGCGUUAUAGUGACAAGGAUGUGUGGAAACCAGAGCCUUGUCGCAUCUGUGUGUGUGACACUGGAACCGUCCUGUGCGAUGAAAUUGUCUGCGAGGAGCUAAAAGACUGCCCCAAACCUGAAAUCCCAUUUGGAGAGUGUUGCCCCAUCUGCGCUGCUGACCAGCCUCCAGCCUCUGGAAUACCUGGUGCUAAGG